UGCCUACGGGAGGCAGCAGUGAGGAAUAUUGGUCAAUGGGCGGAAGCCUGAACCAGCCAAGUCGCGUGAGGGAAGAAGGCCCUGCGGGUCGCAGACCUCUUUGGACGGGGAGCAAGGCCGCCGACGUGUCGGCGGAAGGAGAGUACCCGUAGAACAAGCAUCGGCUAACUCCGUGCCAGCAGCCGCGGUAAUACGGAGGAUGCGAGCGUUAUCCGGAUUCAUUGGGUUUAAAGGGUGCGCAGGCGGGCCUUUAAGCCGGCGGUGGAAUCGCGGGG
RNAcentral lists this ribosomal RNA (275 nucleotides) under uncultured bacterium. RNAcentral describes it as "partial 16S ribosomal RNA". It matches the Rfam family "Bacterial small subunit ribosomal RNA", at positions 335 to 607 of the family's 1533-position model. The record is from RNAcentral.